Pelobates cultripes (western spadefoot toad) is the source of this 493-nucleotide non-coding RNA. The record is from the annotation of a GenBank genome assembly. Lineage: Eukaryota; Metazoa; Chordata; Amphibia; Anura; Pelobatidae.
AAGACAAGACAAGUUAAUAAUGGAACUGUAAACAACAGAGGAUGGAUAAGCACUGAACAAAAAGGAAGAGAAAAAUAAGGGCAACAAUCCUAAAGUAAGGGAGUUUCCUUCAAAGACCCCUAAAAAUACAAUAGAGGUAGAGAAUGUGUAUAGGAUGCGCCUAAUUAGUAAGUAACGCCUAAGUCAAUAGAACAACAAAUAAUUUACAAAAAGUAGGGUGUACUGUAUGCCAGUGAACAAUUCAAAAAGAAAAACUAAGUACUAAAAUAUUAAAAUAUACAAAUAAUAGCAGACAGUCCCCAUAGUAACUGGCUUUCUUCUCUUUAGAAGAAGGUAAUUGAGUUUCUUAGAUCCAAUGGUACAUAUAAAAAAACAAAAGGAUUCAAUAGUGCAAUAAGUCAGAAACAAACAGAACACACAAUACACAAAUGUGUGAUUGGCAAUGCACAUGAAGUAUAGAUUCAAACCAGCUCCAGUACAUGUAGCGUACAGU